GAUGAACGCUGGCGGCGUGCUUAACACAUGCAAGUCGAACGGAAAGGCCAGUGCUUGCACUGGUGCUCGAGUGGCGAACGGGUGAGUAACACGUGGGUGAUCUGCCCCGCACUUUGGGAUAAGCCUGGGAAACUGGGUCUAAUACCAGAUAGGACCAUGCUUUGGAUGGUGUGGUGGAAAGUUUUUUCGGUGUGGGAUGAGCUUGCGGCCUAUCAGCUUGUUGGUGGGGUAAUGGCCUACCAAGGCGUCGACGGGUAGCCGGCCUGAGAGGGUGUACGGCCACAUUGGGACUGAGAUACGGCCCAGACUCCUACGGGAGGCAGCAGUGGGGAAUAUUGCACAAUGGGCGCAAGCCUGAUGCAGCGACGCCGCGUGGGGGAUGACGGCCUUCGGGUUGUAAACUCCUUUCGCAACUGACGAAGCUUUUUGUGACGGUAGGUUGAGAAGAAGCACCGGCUAACUACGUG
RNAcentral lists this ribosomal RNA (467 nucleotides) under uncultured bacterium. RNAcentral describes it as "partial 16S ribosomal RNA". It matches the Rfam family "Bacterial small subunit ribosomal RNA", at positions 28 to 507 of the family's 1533-position model. The record is from RNAcentral.